CCUACGGGAGGCUGCAGUGAGGAAUAUUGGUCAAUGGCCGUAAGCCUGAACCAGCCAAGUAGCGUGAGGGAAGACUGCCCUAUGGGUUGUAAACCUCUUUUAUGCGGGGAUAAAGGUCUCUACGUGUGGAUGUUUGCCGGUACCGCAUGAAUAAGGAUCGGCUAAUUCCGUGCCAGCAGCCGCGGUAAUACGGAGGAUUCAAGCGUUAUCCGGAUUUAUUGGGUUUAAAGGGUGCGUAGGCGGUCGGAUAAGUUAGAGGUGAAAUCUCGAGGCUCAACUUCGGAAUUGCCUUUGAUACUGUGCGGCUAGAGAACAGAUGCGGGAGGCGGAAUAUAUGGUGUAGCGGUGAAAUGCGUAGAUAUCAGACAGAACACCGAUUGCGAAGGCAGCUUACCAAGCUAAUUCUGACGUUGAGGCACGAAAGCGUGGGGAGCAAACAGGAUUAGAUACCCCAGUAGUC
Molecule: ribosomal RNA, 460 nt
Filed under: uncultured bacterium
Lineage: Bacteria
Description: partial 16S ribosomal RNA
Rfam family: Bacterial small subunit ribosomal RNA
Source: RNAcentral